AUUGAACGCUGGCGGCAGGCCUAACACAUGCAAGUCGAGCGGAUGAAGGCAGCUUGCUCCUGGAUUCAGCGGCGGACGGGUGAGUAAUGCCUAGGAAUCUGCCUGGUAGUGGGGGAUAACGUCCGGAAACGGGCGCUAAUACCGCAUACGUCCUGAGGGAGAAAGUGGGGGAUCUUCGGACCUCACGCUAUCAGAUGAGCCUAGGUCGGAUUAGCUAGUUGGUGGGGUAAAGGCCUACCAAGGCGACGAUCCGUAACUGGUCUGAGAGGAUGAUCAGUCACACUGGAACUGAGACACGGUCCAGACUCCUACGGGAGGCAGCAGUGGGGAAUAUUGGACAAUGGGCGAGAGCCUGAUCCAGCCAUGCCGCGUGUGUGAAGAAGGUCUUCGGAUUGUAAAGCACUUUAAGUGGGGAGGAAGGGCAGUAAGUUAAUACCUUGCUGUUUUGACGUUACCGACAGAAUAAGCACCGGCUAACUUCGUG
Molecule: ribosomal RNA, 484 nt
Filed under: uncultured bacterium
Lineage: Bacteria
Description: partial 16S ribosomal RNA
Rfam family: Bacterial small subunit ribosomal RNA
Source: RNAcentral